GACGAACGCUGGCGGCGUGCCUAAUACAUGCAAGUUGAGCGCUGAAGGUUGGUACUUGUACCAACUGGAUGAGCAGCGAACGGGUGAGUAACGCGUGGGGAAUCUGCCUUUGAGCGGGGGACAACAUUUGGAAACGAAUGCUAAUACCGCAUAAAAACUUUAAACACAAGUUUUAAGUUGGAAAGAUGCAAUUGCAUCACUCAAAGAUGAUCCCGCGUUGUAUUAGCUAGUUGGUGAGGUAAAGGCUCACCAAGGCGAUGAUACAUAGCCGACCUGAGAGGGUGAUCGGCCACAUUGGGACUGAGACACGGCCCAAACUCCUACGGGAGGCAGCAGUAGGGAAUCUUCGGCAAUGGACGAAAGUCUGACCGAGCAACGCCGCGUGAGUGAAGAAGGUUUUCGGAUCGUAAAACUCUGUUGGUAGAGAAGAACGUUGGUGAGAGUGGAAAGCUCAUCAAGUGACGGUAACUACCCAGAAAGGGACGGCUAACUACGUG
This 497-nucleotide ribosomal RNA is filed under the name uncultured bacterium. RNAcentral describes it as "partial 16S ribosomal RNA". It matches the Rfam family "Bacterial small subunit ribosomal RNA", at positions 28 to 507 of the family's 1533-position model. The record is from RNAcentral.